AAAUUGAAGAGUUUGAUCAUGGCUCAGAUUGAACGCUGGCGGCAGGCCUAACACAUGCAAGUCGAACGGUAACAGGAAGCAGCUUGGCUGCUUUGCUGACGAGUGGCGGACGGGUGAGUAAUGUCUGGGAAACUGCCUGAUGGAGGGGGAUAACUACUGGAAACGGUGGCUAAUACCGCAUAA
Molecule: ribosomal RNA, 183 nt
Filed under: Salmonella enterica subsp. enterica serovar Typhi
Lineage: Bacteria; Pseudomonadati; Pseudomonadota; Gammaproteobacteria; Enterobacterales; Enterobacteriaceae
Description: partial 16S ribosomal RNA
Rfam family: Bacterial small subunit ribosomal RNA
Source: RNAcentral